This 146-nucleotide small RNA is filed under the name Xenorhabdus poinarii G6. Its description in RNAcentral is "Leu_leader". It matches the Rfam family "Leucine operon leader". From Rfam's summary of the family: At least 6 amino acid operons are known to be regulated by attenuation. In each a leader sequence of 150-200 bp is found upstream of the first gene in the operon. The record is from RNAcentral. Lineage: Bacteria; Pseudomonadati; Pseudomonadota; Gammaproteobacteria; Enterobacterales; Morganellaceae.
UAAAGGUUAGCUUACAUGAAUCACGCUUUUCUUCUACUCGAUCUACUACUUAUCGCCUUUAAUGUGCGCGGUAUUUUGGUGGAUGAAAAAUGGCGUUAAGUUAACCUUCAUCAGAAAAAAAACCCGCGCACAACGCGGGUUUUUUU